GAUUAACAAUGCAUGAAUGCAACAUUCUACCUAUAAAUGCAUCAACGGGAUUGUGUUUCGGAGUAAUAGCCAUGUCACGUUGUCGAUGUCAUUUCUUGACAGAAGGCUGUUGUAGUUUACAGCCGAUUUAAUUGAUAAAGUUAAAACAAAGUGCAUGUCUAGUUCUCUUGCGUCUAUGCGGAGCAAUGCUGGCCAGCAGAGGCGGAAGUAUUAUGACCUGAUGAGUGGCUUCUACACGGCCCAGACUGUGCCCGCAGGAAUGCCCUGACCGAGUGGUUUCAACCCCCAGCUCUCACAACCUGACAAGUUUCUGUGCAGUCUUCAGAUAUCUGGCAAAGGCUUUCCUCUGAGAUAUAGCUGGCUUGGCUGCCAGGAUACUGGCACAUCCCCGGGAGCAUCACCCCCUGCUCUGUGGACAUGAGCUUCAUUGAGCAGCCUCUAGACAUGCCCCCUCCUUACACCUCAGCUUCCUCCCUAGUAGGAGGAACCGCCUACACCCAUCGCUCCGGGACUCUAUUCUCACAACACUCGGGGCUACGCUGUUGCAAGGAUCACGGUCGUUUGAGACUCAAAAGCCUUAUACGGUUCAACAAUGCAUGCUUCCAGCAGGAUGACCUGCCGACUAUGUUUUGCAUGCCCUGCCGAAGGACCUUAGUACACUACCAUGUGGAAUAGGUGGUUGCAGUUCGUUGGUCCCCAAUGGUGAUACCAGUAUGGAGCCAACACUUGGGAGAUUUGCAAGAGUGAUGGUGUCCAGACUGACAGACAGGCUUGAUGCUGAUGUCUCUGAAUGUAGAGAGAACUUGCAUUCAGUAAUAAAAUUAUACAAGACAAUUCUAUAACAUUUUAUAGUAUUUUCUUAUUAUUGAAUCGAAUGGUAUGACGACUGACAUGUUUGGCAAGGUAGCCCAGACAAAAUGUUGAUAGAUCCAGUAUCUGUGAAUGACAAUAAAAGAUGAAAGACAAGUGUAAUAUUUGCAUAUUGUUAUAUGAGCAGAACACUGCUUCUACAAUAUUAUGUGAAGAAUGUAUUAUUCUACAUGGAACUGUUUUUUUUGUUGGU
This 1063-nucleotide long non-coding RNA is filed under the name Salmo salar (Atlantic salmon). RNAcentral describes it as "lncRNA (ENSSSAG00000088689.1)". The record is from RNAcentral. Lineage: Eukaryota; Metazoa; Chordata; Actinopteri; Salmoniformes; Salmonidae.